This 433-nucleotide ribosomal RNA is filed under the name uncultured bacterium. RNAcentral describes it as "partial 16S ribosomal RNA". It matches the Rfam family "Bacterial small subunit ribosomal RNA", at positions 29 to 507 of the family's 1533-position model. The record is from RNAcentral.
AACGAACGCUGGUGGCAUGCCUAACACAUGCAAGUCGAACGAGACCUUCGGGUCUAGUGGCGCACGGGUGCGUAACGCGUGGGAACCUGCCCUUAGGUUCGGAAUAACUCCCCGAAAGGGGUGCUAAUACCGGAUAAUGUCUUCGGACCAAAGAUUUAUCGCCUUUGGAUGGGCCCGCGUUGGAUUAGCUAGUUGGUAGGGUAAAAGCCUACCAAGGCGACGAUCCAUAGCUGGUCUGAGAGGAUGAUCAGCCACACUGGGACUGAGACACGGCCCAGACUCCUACGGGAGGCAGCAGUGGGGAAUAUUGGACAAUAGGCGAAAGCCUGAUCCAGCAAUGCCGCGUGAGUGAUGAAGGCCUUAGGGUUGUAAAGCUCUUUUACCCGGGAUGAUAAUGACAGUACCGGGAGAAUAAGCUCCGGCUAACUCCGUG